This is a long non-coding RNA of Camelina sativa (false flax), 558 nucleotides long. RefSeq lists it as uncharacterized. The record is from RefSeq and is a predicted model, not a curated record. NCBI's taxonomy places the organism in Eukaryota, Viridiplantae, Streptophyta, Magnoliopsida, Brassicales, Brassicaceae.
UUGUCUCCAGAAAAAAAAAACGUUUCUUGGUUGUCUUAUCAUCUUCUCGAAUCUGGCUUUUCAAAAUCAUGGAAAUCAGAAGUCAAUUGCUAUGAUUCUUCUUUGUUUUAAUCAGAAAUGAUAGAUUAAAAGAUUUUACAUUCAGAGGGAAGCUGCGAUCUCCAAAAUUCCAUAUCGUGGGUGAACUAUUCUGAAAUCGAUUCAGUUCCUGAUCAGCGAAUUUGGAAACAUAUCCGGGGAGAUUUGAGGCUAAAAAUAAAGUCAGCGAUUGAUUACAUACUAUCAGAUAUGGACAGCCAUCGAGGAUUUGAGCUAAUAUGAUGUGUUCCAGGAUACGUAAUCAGUGGAAGAAAAUAUUUGGAAAUCAAGAAGUUGGAACACAAAUCUCGCAUAGGAUCACAGUGGAAGGCAAUGAAAUAUCUUUUUAUUGUGUAUUAGAUUUUUGAAUAGAAACAAUUGGCGGUGAAAAUAAUUGUGGGGUGGGUUAGGAAUAGGUAGAACUGAAAUGGGCUUGGAUCUUGAUAUGUUAAUGUUUAUUUUCGAACCCAAACAAAUAAA